CUUACCUUAAUAGUAAGAGUGACGGGCGAUGUGUGCAUAUUUUAGAGCUAAAAUCAAAAUUAUAAUCUUUUAAUUUUUACUAUCAAAUCCACCUUCAUUAAAAAUAUUUAAAAAUUAAAUUCGUCUAAAUAACUUUAUUGUAACCCAUCUCUACUUAAAUAUAAGCUACACCUUGAUCUGAUAUAAAUUUUAUUUUAAAUUAUUGAAAAUUAUUUUUCUUAUAAAAUAUUCUAAUAACGACGGUAUAUAAACUGAAAACAAAUUUAAGUAAGGUUCAUCGUGGAUUAUCAAUUACAGGACAGGUUCCUCUGAAUAGACUAAAAUACCGCCAAAUUUUUUAAGUUUCAAGAACAUAACUAAUACUACCUAAGNGUUUUUUAAUACAUUUUAAAUAAUA
RNAcentral lists this ribosomal RNA (397 nucleotides) under Capparimyia melanaspis. Its description in RNAcentral is "partial 12S ribosomal RNA". Lineage: Eukaryota; Metazoa; Arthropoda; Insecta; Diptera; Tephritidae. The record is from RNAcentral.